RNAcentral lists this ribosomal RNA (533 nucleotides) under uncultured bacterium. RNAcentral describes it as "bacterial SSU rRNA". It matches the Rfam family "Bacterial small subunit ribosomal RNA", at positions 38 to 507 of the family's 1533-position model. The record is from RNAcentral.
GGCGGCGUGGAUUAGGCAUGCAAGUCGAACGGUAUGGACCUUUCGGGGUUCAGGAGAGUGGCGAACGGGUGAGUAACACGUAGGUAAUCUACCCUCAAGACGGGGACAACCCAGGGAAACUUGGGCUAAUACCGGAUGUGUGUAGUGGCUAUUUUCUGAUUAUCAUUAUUUACGUAAGUGAGUAAUAAUAAGAAGGGAAAGUGGUUAUUACAUAAAAGGUGGCGUAAGCUGCCGCUUGGGGAUGAGCCUGCGUCCUAUUAGUUAGUUGGUGAGGUAACGGCUUACCAAGGCGAUGAUAGGUAGGCGGCCUUAACGGGUGGUCGCCCACACUGGGAUUGAGAUACGGCCCAGACUCCUACGGGAGGCAGCAGUCGAGAAUAGUCUACAAUGGACGGAAGUCUGAUAGUGCGACGCCGCGUGAACGAAGAAUCCCUUCGGGGUGUAAAGUUCUUUUAUACGUGAGCAGUGUCCUUUAUAUUAAUAGUAUAAGGGGAGAGAUAUUAGCGUAUGAAUAAGCAACGGCUAACUCCGUG